Molecule: long non-coding RNA, 2941 nt
Filed under: Mus musculus (house mouse)
Lineage: Eukaryota; Metazoa; Chordata; Mammalia; Rodentia; Muridae
Description: RIKEN cDNA D430020J02 gene
Source: RNAcentral
AGAGCUGCUGGCUGUGUUUCCCGCCCUCCGCCCACACACACCCACCUUCCUUGGGAGCGCUGCUGUUGCUUCUGUGUUCCUUGCCAGCUGCUCGGUGAGACGUCACGCUGAUAUCAGACGGAGGAGGGAGAGCAAGUCCGAGACUGCUCAAGUGGUAACCAAGAAGAUUCUUGAAGAAAUCCUGCCUCGGUUCGGGAUCCCUAAGGUAAUCGGCUCAGACAAUGGGCCCGCAUUUGUUGCCCAGGCCCUAGAGGUUGUUAAAACACAGAUCUGCAACCAGAUCAGAGAAGCCUACACUCCGGGAACCAUAGCAGUGCCUCACGGGUUCCAGGUUGGAGACUCAGUCUUGGUCAGACGACAUCGCACUGGCACGCUUGAGCCCCGGUGGAAAGGACCGUAUCUGGUGCUGUUGACCACCCCCACGGCAGUAAAAGUAGACGGGAUCGCUGCUUGGAUCCAUGCCUCCCACGUCAAAAAGGCACCCAGCCAAGAUGAAGACAACUGGAUGGUGGCAGCCACUGACAAUCCUCUUAAGCUUCGCUUGGGUCACAGGAGUCACCCUGGGCCUAAAGAACCACAACCCACACCAGCCUCUGACUCUAACUUGGCAAGUUCUCGGUCCUGAUUCGGAUCAGGUCUUGUUUACCACCUCCAAAACAGCGCCGCCAGGGACAUGGUGGCCAGACCUAGCCUUCUGCCUCAAACAGAUAAUUCCAGCUGCUAGAAGCACUCCCCCUAAUCUAGUAAGAAGCUAUGGAUUCUACUGCUGCCCAGAGCACAGCAAGUGGUCCUUAUGCGGAGGGUCAGCCUCCUAUUAUUGUGGCCAAUGGAAUUGUGUUACUUCCAACGAUGGUGAUUGGAAAUGGGCUAGUGGUCAUGUUCCUGACAGGGCUGAGUUCUCUUUUCAGAACUCAGGGCCUGGAAAGCACACCGUAAUGGAACUGUAUAAAAGGGCUGACUGUCGCCCCGAUGAUUUAGACAGAGUACUGAUCAAAUUUACAGACACAGGAAAAAAAUAUGACAUCAAGGCAUGGAUAAGGGGCAUGCGGUGGGGAUUAGUUUUUUAUGACUAUAGUGGAAAGCCUGGGUCAUCAGUCAUGGUUCGUUUGAGCCUCAGUAGCCCCCGACCCAACCAGUAGGACCUAACCCUGUUCUAGUUGAAAAGCCUUCGUUACUGCUUCCCAGGCCUACCAUCCCUGGGUCUCCAUCAGACUAUCCGACCAAGGCUCACACUCCUUCCUUGGAUCGGGUUCCAACCACUCCCAUGCCCCCAGAUACCAAGAAUCGCCUAUUUAGCCUAAUACAAGGGGCAUUCCUGGUCCUCAAUCGUACUGAUCCCAACAUUACUCGGUCUUGCUGGCUGUGCUAUGCCUCUAGCCCCCCUUAUUAUGAGGGAAUUGCUCAGAUGAGGAUUUAUAAUAAAACUUCAGACCCCUCUCAAUGCCCUUGGGGGGAAAACAGAAAGUUGACUCUGGCAGCAAUCUCAGGAAGUGGACUUUGUUUAGGCCGGGUACCUCAUGACAGACGGCACCUCUGUAAUCAGACCCAGCACGUACAGCCUAGCGAAGGUGGUCAGUAUCUAGUCGUCCCCCCCCCCCAUAGACACAGUAUGGGCUUGCAACACAGGUCUCCUUGUGUGUCUACUUCUGUUUUUAAUGGUUCCAAAGAUUUCUGCAUUCUGGUUCAACUUGUUCCUAGACUCCUAUACCAUGAUGAUAGCUCCUUUGUAGAUGAAUUUGAUCACCGGGUCCGCUGGAAGAGAGAACCCAUCACCUUAACCUUAGCAGUACUUUUAGGACUAGGAAUAGCGGCCGGAGUAGGUACAGGUACCGCUGCCUUGAUUCAGACCCCCCAGUAUUAUGAAGAAUUACGUACAGCUAUGGAUACUGAUCUAGGAGCUAUAGAACAGUCUAUAACCAAAUUAGAAGAAUCUUUAACUUCCCUGUCAGAAGUAGUGCUGCAGAAUAGGAAGGGACUAGACUUAUUAUUCCUCAAAGAAGGAGGACUCUGUGCAGCCCUAAAAGAAGAAUGUUGUUUUUAUGUUGAUCAUUCAGGAGUGAUCAGGGAUUCUAUGGCCAAGCUCAGGGAAUGCUUAGAUAUACGUAAAAAAGAGAGAGGAGAGGCAGGGAUGGUUUGAAAGUUGAUUUAUUAAGUCUCCAUGGUUUACCACCCUUCUCUCUACCCUAGCUGGGCCUUUAAUAAUUCUUAUGCUCUUACUUAUUUCGGGCCAUGUAUUCUCAAUACAACGCCCCAGGUGUGUUGCUUAAUGUAGCACAUGACCUAACUGUUGAGUAAAUUUAUGGUUUUGGCCUUCCCCUAUUUCCUCCCCAAUCCUUCCCCCUUUUUUGUGGUUUUUGCCUUUAUAAGCCUUAAGAGAGUUUCGGUCGGGGGUCGAACUCCUCUACCCCUGCCUGGUGGUGUGUGAGUCUCGACCCCAGCAUGCUGGCCUGAGCUCUCGUUCCGUCUCGCUUUCCAUAAAACUUCCUCGUGUGGUUACAGCAAGUCCAGUCUCAGUGUCUCGCUGGGUGCUCGCCUUCCCAAGACUUGAGUGAGGGUCUCCCUUUGGGGGUCUUUCAUUAUCACUUGGAAAGUCCCUUCAGAAAUGGUUACUGAACUUCAUGCUCCAAAUGUCUAGAAUGAGUUCUGUUGCCUGGAUUGAAUUUAAAAGAUUUAGAUGUUACCCCAGGGGAAGCCAGCCUUCCCGACAUAGGACAGAUGACUGUUUACUACUAAAGAAAAGCCAGCCAUGAACUUUAUAUUUAAAGCGAAAGUAUAGUCUCAACAGUUUAAAAUGAUGGUGGGGAGAGGGUACAGGUCAGUUAGGAAUGGCCCCCCUUUUAGAGACAUCCAUUUGCACCCCCUGGACCACCUAAUGGUGUCCUAGGGAUGGCUAUUUUGAACCCUAGAAAGGAAUUGCAGGAUAAAAUCUCAGCCCUAAAAC